CCUACGGGCGGCAGCAGUCGAGAAUCAUUCACAAUGGGGGAAACCCUGAUGGUGCGACGCCGCGUGGGGGAAUGAAGGUCUUCGGAUUGUAAACCCCUGUCAUGUGGGAGCAAAUUAAAAAGAUAGUACCACAAGAGGAAGAGACGGCUAACUCUGUGCCAGCAGCCGCGGUAAUACAGAGGUCUCAAGCGUUGUUCGGACUCACUGGGCGUAAAGCGUGCGUAGGCUGUUUCGUAAGUCGUGUGUGAAAGGCGCGGGCUCAACCCGCGGACGGCACAUGAUACUGCGAGACUAGAGUAGUGGAGGGGGAACCGGAAUUCUCGGUGUAGCAGUGAAAUGCGUAGAUAUCGAGAGGAACACUCGUGGCGAAGGCGGGUUCCUGGACAUUAACUGACGCUGAGGCACGAAGGCCAGGGGAGCGAAAGGGAUUAGAUACCCGAGUAGUC
Molecule: ribosomal RNA, 446 nt
Filed under: uncultured bacterium
Lineage: Bacteria
Description: partial 16S ribosomal RNA
Rfam family: Bacterial small subunit ribosomal RNA
Source: RNAcentral